RNAcentral lists this ribosomal RNA (298 nucleotides) under uncultured Pseudomonas sp. RNAcentral describes it as "partial 16S ribosomal RNA". It matches the Rfam family "Bacterial small subunit ribosomal RNA", at positions 500 to 795 of the family's 1533-position model. The record is from RNAcentral. Lineage: Bacteria; Pseudomonadati; Pseudomonadota; Gammaproteobacteria; Pseudomonadales; Pseudomonadaceae.
CCUACGGGAGGCAGCAGCCGCGGUAAUACAGAGGGUGCAAGCGUUAAUCGGAAUUACUGGGCGUAAAGCGCGCGUAGGUGGUUUGUUAAGUUGGAUGUGAAAUCCCCGGGCUCAACCUGGGAACUGCAUUCAAAACUGACUGACUAGAGUAUGGUAGAGGGUGGUGGAAUUUCCUGUGUAGCGGUGAAAUGCGUAGAUAUAGGAAGGAACACCAGUGGCGAAGGCGACCACCUGGACUAAUACUGACACUGAGGUGCGAAAGCGUGGGGAGCAAACAGGAUUAGAUACCCUAGUAGUC